Coffea arabica (coffee) is the source of this 1406-nucleotide non-coding RNA. The record is from RefSeq and is a predicted model, not a curated record. NCBI's taxonomy places the organism in Eukaryota, Viridiplantae, Streptophyta, Magnoliopsida, Gentianales, Rubiaceae.
GAUGAUCAGGCUCCAGGAAAAUAACCCGCAGAAUCUGUUCAACUGCAACUUGAUCCCUUUGCUCAUCAAACAGCUCUGGUACAUAAUCCAUGUCACCUUUUACUUUCAAGCUCAUGAUCUUGAACUUGACCCUGCUCUUUAGACCAUCCAGCUUGUCAUUGGACUCUGGAGGCUCCAAAAACUUGAAAAUAUUUCUUAGAGAUGACUUCUAUUUUGAACUUAAAAUAGAAGUCAUGUUUUUUGGAGUAUAUAUGCUUGCUUUUAGUGGUCAACUUUAGUGUUUUCUGAUCUGUAUUUUCUGAUCUGUAUUUAGCCUCAGCCUCAGCUUAGGGGAAAAAAUUGUUCAAAAUUUUUGCCUUGUCAUCAUGAAUCCCCUAGAUUAAUUGCAUCAUCUGCCUCUUGGCCCGCUUGGGAAGGACUUGCUACUUCCCAACCAUUUUUUGCACAAAACCCAACUACGGCUGGACUUGGUAGGGGGAGAGUUGAACAAAAAUUGACCAGCGGUUGGAAAAUUUUGGUUGUUGUCAUUGGUAGUGUAAAAUGUUGACCAUACUUUCUGCUUCUUUCCCUCAUUAGACAAACCUACUCAACAAACUUAGAAAACAUUAAAUUAGAUGUGUUUUGCCACUAGUUUUUGGGGUUGAUUUAGUUUAUCCAGCAAGCUAAUUGGAGCUUUUGUAUGGGUACGCCGAAUUGGAACAGAUGGGAUGUUAUGUGCUUGAUCUGACCCUAUUUUUUUCCCUCAAAUUCAAUCUGAUUGAGUAGGCUGGGUAUGUAUCAUAUGGAGGGGUUGUUCAUGACUUGAAAUCUCCUUUGGUUAUUCUUUUUCAAACUUGGGAGUUGAUGUUGUGUAGUUUGAGAUGUAUAAUUUUAGGACUAGCUCAAUAGCAACUUAUGCAAAGGCUGGAGAACUGACAAGCUGAAAUGCAAAACCAACAAAUUGAAAUGCAAGACCUUCUUAAGGCUUUGAAAGUUGAAUUGCAGUCUAGGAAGUAGGGCAAUGAGAGUAUAUCUGGCAAUGAUAAAUGGCUUUGUAUCAAGAAACUUUAGCAUGAAUGCCUCUCCAAACAAUUUUACCUUAAAGAAAGGAAAUGGAGACUCUGCACAGGAACAAAAGCACAGCUUCUUUUGAGCACUAAUGCAGAACUUCCCUCAUUUGGAGGUGGAACCAGCUGAAGAUUGAUGGGGACUUCGUGGUUAUGACUGAAAGCUCUCAUUUCAUUGUAAAGUUUGGAAGCUACUGUUAGUUCUUUCAACUUGUUAGGGAUGAGAAUCUUUUAGUUUGUGCACAAGAAAGUAUUUCAAGUUUGUGUACAUGAGAAUGUUUUAGUACUUGUUUGGGAUUUUAAUAUUUGCUACGUUUGUACUUGUUACCGACUUUUAAUUUAAUGAAUUAUAUUUGAGUA